Molecule: ribosomal RNA, 601 nt
Filed under: uncultured bacterium
Lineage: Bacteria
Description: bacterial SSU rRNA
Rfam family: Bacterial small subunit ribosomal RNA
Source: RNAcentral
GUGAGAAAUCACUGCUAAUACCGCAUAAGCUGUGAUGAGCACAUGCUCUAAAUAGAAAAGGAGCAAUCCGCUGAUAGAUGAGCUUGCGUCUGAUUAGUUAGUUGGUGAGGUAACGGCCCACCAAGACGAUGAUCAGUAGCCGGACUGAGAGGUUGAACGGCCACAUUGGGACUGAGAUACGGCCCAGACUCCUACGGGAGGCAGCAGUCGGGAAUAUUGCGCAAUGGAGGAAACUCUGACGCAGUGACGCCGCGUGCAGGAAGAAGGUUUUCGGAUUGUAAACUGCUUUAGACAGGGACGAAAUAAAUGACGGUACCUGUAGAAUAAGCUCCGGCUAACUACGUGCCAGCAGCCGCGAUAAUACGUAGGGAGCAAGCGUUAUCCGGAUUUAUUGGGUGUAAAGGGUGCGUAGACGGAAAGACAAGUUAGUUGUGAAAUACCUCGGCUUAACUGAGGAACUGCAACUAAAACUAUCUAUCUUGAGUACUGGAGGGGAAAGCGGAAUUCCUAGUGUAGCGGUGAAAUGCGUAGAUAUUAGGAAGAACACCGGUGGCGAAGGCGGCUUUCUGGACAGUAACUGACGUUGAGGCACGAAAGUGUG